Molecule: ribosomal RNA, 466 nt
Filed under: uncultured bacterium
Lineage: Bacteria
Description: partial 16S ribosomal RNA
Rfam family: Bacterial small subunit ribosomal RNA
Source: RNAcentral
GAUGAACGCUGGCGGCGUGCUUAACACAUGCAAGUCGAACGGAAAGGCCCAAGCUUGCUUGGGUACUCGAGUGGCGAACGGGUGAGUAACACGUGGGUGAUCUGCCCUGCACUUCGGGAUAAGCCUGGGAAACUGGGUCUAAUACCGGAUAGGACCACAUUUUGGAUGGUGUGGUGGAAAGUUUUUCGGUGUGGGGUGAGCUCGCGGCCUAUCAGCUUGUUGGUGGGGUAAUGGCCUACCAAGGCGUCGACGGGUAGCCGGCCUGGGAGGGUGUACGGCCACAUUGGGACUGAGAUACGGCCCAGACUCCUACGGGAGGCAGCAGUGGGGAAUAUUGCACAAUGGGCGCAAGCCUGAUGCAGCGACGCCGCGUGGGGGAUGACGGCCUUCGGGUUGAAAACUCCUUUCGCUAGGGACGAAGCGUUAUGUGACGGUACCUGGAGAAGAAGCACCGGCUAACUACGUG